Molecule: ribosomal RNA, 253 nt
Filed under: uncultured bacterium
Lineage: Bacteria
Description: partial 16S ribosomal RNA
Rfam family: Bacterial small subunit ribosomal RNA
Source: RNAcentral
UACGGGGGGGGCAAGCGUUGUUCGGAAUUACUGGGCGUAAAGGGCUCGUAGGCGGCCAACUAAGUCGGAUGUGAAAUCCCCAGGCUUAACCUGGGAACUGCAUCCGAUACUGGAUGGCUUGAAUCCGGGAGAGGGAUGCAGAAUUCCAGGUGUAGCGGUGAAAUGCGUAGAUAUCUGGAGGAAUACCGGUGGCGAAGGCGGCGUUCUGGACUGCAACUGACACUGAUGAACGAAAGCCAGGGGAGCAAACGGG